AAUGACUAGGAUGUAGUCAGAAGACAUAACCACAGAUAUAUAGUUACACAUUUAAAAGAGUCUAUUAAAGGCCUUUCUGGCUUUGCUCUGAAUUUACAAUAUGAGAAUUUCCAAAGAGUGUAUUUUCUGAAACAACUUUCAUUGCCUUGGGAUAAUUUCUCUUUUUUUUUUUUUCCCCUUUAAUGUGAUUUGUCAUGGUAGAACCUAGACAUUUUUCCAUGUGUGCUUACUUUGUGUUUUCUGUGGCCUGCAAGGAAUUAGUUUUAAUUAACGAGACUGGCAAAUGCAUUGUUGAAACAGUCUUUGUGGUAGACACGCCUUUGUGUUAACAGUUGGGUUAAACAUCCCCUUUAUCAGAGCUAUUAGCACCUAAUAUUACUGUCUGAUUAAAGAUCAUUCAGUGGAUUAUCCAGUCCCAGCGCUUCCGCAUACCCCCAGACAGGUGCUCAAAUAAGGAAUUACGUUAAGUAAAUUAGCACUAGUAUCGCAUCCUUAAUGGCUUUGUCUUGGCUGCGGAAAAGAAAAAGUUACUGGGCUGUUUGGAUGCGUCUUUGUCGCUCUUAAGCAGCAGGUUGCCUUGCACAAGCUCCGUAGAUUUACAUUAGAAAAAAGACCUUUGUUUUGUUGUUCACCUGGUCUUCCUUUUCUCAUCGGUGAGCACCGUGCCUUUCCUCCACGCAGAUUUCUUCUUUGGUGGUGCUAGAGAGAGCUGAUGAGACAGGAAGAAAGUGGCAGGAAUUGCUGGGUCUGACCUUCACUAAUGCUAAGCUUGGAGCUGCACUGAAGCUAUUUUAAACAAGGUCACUUUGGAUAGGAGACUAGAAAAGCAAAUCUGUCUUUUUUGUCACUGCAUUUUUCCCACUGCAUUUCUAAUGUCACCAAUGGUUGAAGUGGAUACGCAUCAAAUGCAAACAGAAUGGACAGGAGAGAAUCAAAUCACCACUUGAAUGAAGUCAGUCUGUGAGCAGUGGAACUCAGAAGAGAUUUACUGUAUUCCUGUGGUGGCUGUAAUUCAGGAAAAUUCCAGAACCCAACAAACAAAGCAGAAAACGUACUUCUUCCAGACAGGAGAAGCGCAAGACUUGGAAGCCUCUGUGGGAGAGAAGACAGGAAUGCCACUCGCUGCAUUUCUCAGCUUAACUUGGCUGGCCGAAUGCUUAACUUGCUGAAGAACAGUGACAGUUACAGACAGGCUGUCUCUUUCCAUGCCCGCUGAUGGGGUGAGCUCUCAGGCACUUAUAUAAUUGCUCCUAGCUGCUGGUGCUAAAUUGUUGGCUUGAAGAGGAUUGUGCAGUCUGAACCUGAUGGCUGACUGCUGCCACAGAAACUUCAGUUUAAUUGCUGAUGGAAUUGGACAUACAUACGAAAAGAAUCGAGUUCGUGUAAUUUAGCCGUAAAGGAAAUACUCUUGCAUUAAAAGAAGGUUCUGAUGUAGCAAAAUUAAGCUAUACGUGUUUGAGUAUAAGCAUAUAUAGCUCAGGUUUUGAAUACCUGAGGGAUGCUUCCCUUUGGAUGUCUAUUACUGAUGACAGUGCAGCAUCAGAAGUGCUAUGCGGGUUCUCUGAGCACGACAAAUAAUGAUGGCUGUAAGUAACGGCCUCCAAAACUGUGUUUCCUGAAAAGCAGCUCACACACACUGCCACUGCAGUCGAACUUCCUUUAUAUGAGACCCUCGUACUCUCCCCGGUUCCUUUCCUUCUGCAUUCCCACCUUCCUGCCCCUUGGCAUUCAUUCACACUGUGUGUUAUUAAAGUUGUCUCUGAAGCUGCCCCAAGGAGUUGUGCACAUUAUUUACAUCACAACAGAG
RNAcentral lists this long non-coding RNA (1807 nucleotides) under Phasianus colchicus (ring-necked pheasant). RNAcentral's name for it is "lncRNA (ENSPCLG00000003970.1)". The record is from RNAcentral. Lineage: Eukaryota; Metazoa; Chordata; Aves; Galliformes; Phasianidae.